Molecule: ribosomal RNA, 801 nt
Filed under: uncultured bacterium
Lineage: Bacteria
Description: bacterial SSU rRNA
Rfam family: Bacterial small subunit ribosomal RNA
Source: RNAcentral
GAAGCAUUUUUACGGAACAUUUUCGGAUGGGGAGGAAAAAUGACUGAGUGGCGGACGGGUGAGUAACGCGUGGAUAACCUACCAUAUACAGGGGGACAACAGUUGGAAACGACUGCUAAUACCGCAUAAGCGCACAGUGCCGCAUGGCACAGUGUGAAAAACUCCGGUGGUAUAUGAUGGAUCCGCGUCUGAUUAGCUAGUUGGUGAGGUAAUGGCCCACCAAGGCAACGAUCAGUAGCCGACCUGAGAGGGUGACCGGCCACAUUGGGACUGAGACACGGCCCAAACUCCUACGGGAGGCAGCAGUGGGGAAUAUUGCACAAUGGGCGAAAGCCUGAUGCAGCGACGCCGCGUGAGCGAAGAAGUAUUUCGGUAUGUAAAGCUCUAUCAGCAGGGAAGAAAAUGACGGUACCUGACUAAGAAGCCCCGGCUAACUACGUGCCAGCAGCCGCGGUAAUACGUAGGGGGCAAGCGUUAUCCGGAUUUACUGGGUGUAAAGGGAGCGUAGGCGGCAAGGCAAGUCUGAUGUGAAAACCCGGGGCUCAACCCCGGGACUGCAUUGGAAACUGCUUAGCUAGAGUGUCGGAGAGGUAAGUGGAAUUCCUAGUGUAGCGGUGAAAUGCGUAGAUAUUAGGAGGAACACCAGUGGCGAAGGCGACUUACUGGACGAUAACUGACGCUGAGGCUCGAAAGCGUGGGGAGCAAACAGGAUUAGAUACCCUGGUAGUCCACGCUGUAAACGAUGAAUACUAGGUGUCGGGUGGCAAAGCCAUUCGGUGCCGCAGCUAACGCAAUAAGUAU